RNAcentral lists this ribosomal RNA (311 nucleotides) under uncultured Lewinella sp. RNAcentral describes it as "bacterial SSU rRNA". It matches the Rfam family "Bacterial small subunit ribosomal RNA", at positions 28 to 334 of the family's 1533-position model. Lineage: Bacteria; Pseudomonadati; Bacteroidota; Saprospiria; Saprospirales; Lewinellaceae. The record is from RNAcentral.
GAUGAACGCUAGCGGGAGGCUUAAUACAUGCAAGUCGAGCGAGAAGGUGGAGUGCUUGCACUCUGCUGGACAGCGGCGCACGGGUGAGUAACGCGUACGUAACCUACCCUAUACAGAGGGAUAGCCCCGGGAAACUGGGAUUAAUACCUCAUGGUCUGUGGUCAUCGCAUGAUGAUUAUAGUAAAGCUCCGGCGGUAUAGGAUGGACGUGCGUACUAUUAGCUAGAUGGUGAGGUAACGGCUCACCAUGGCGAUGAUAGUUAGGGGGCGUGAGAGCGUGAUCCCCCACACGGGUACUGAGACACGGACCCG